This 253-nucleotide ribosomal RNA is filed under the name uncultured bacterium. Its description in RNAcentral is "partial 16S ribosomal RNA". It matches the Rfam family "Bacterial small subunit ribosomal RNA", at positions 524 to 776 of the family's 1533-position model. The record is from RNAcentral.
UACAGGGGGGGCAAGCGUUGUUCGGAAUUACUGGGCGUAAAGAGCUCGUAGGCGGCUUGUCGCGUCGACCGUGAAAACUUGGGGCUCAACCCUAAGCCUGCGGUCGAUACGGGCAGGCUAGAGUUCGGUAGGGGAGACUGGAAUUCCUGGUGUAGCGGUGAAAUGCGCAGAUAUCAGGAGGAACACCAAUAGCGAAGGCAGCUCGCUGGGACGUUACUGACACUGAGGCGCGAAAGCGUGGGGAGCGAACAGG